This 203-nucleotide unclassified non-coding RNA is filed under the name Hevea brasiliensis (rubber tree). Lineage: Eukaryota; Viridiplantae; Streptophyta; Magnoliopsida; Malpighiales; Euphorbiaceae. The record is from RNAcentral.
GUGAACUCAACCUUCUUGGACAUGGAUGGAGACUAUGGAAAGAAGGAAAAGGGUUGGACUUGUUAGAUAUAUCGGUUGGCAAUUCAUUUUCCUCGAGUGAAGUUCUUAGAUGCUUGCAGGUAGGCCUUCUAUGCGUCCAAGAACGUGCAGAAGAUAGGCCAACAAUGGCAUCUGUGGUCUUGAUGUUGAGCAGCGAAACUGCA